This 226-nucleotide ribosomal RNA is filed under the name uncultured bacterium. RNAcentral's name for it is "partial 16S ribosomal RNA". It matches the Rfam family "Bacterial small subunit ribosomal RNA", at positions 122 to 334 of the family's 1533-position model. The record is from RNAcentral.
AAACCUGCCUUUCUGUGGGGGAUAACAUUCCUAACGGGGUGCUAAUACCGCAUGGUUCGUCGCAUCGCAUGGUGCGACGAUAAAGAUGGCCUCUACAUGUAAGCUGUCGCAGAAAGAUGGUCCCGCCUCCCAUUAGCUUGCUGGUGGGGUAAUGGCCUACCAAGGCGACGAUGGGUAGCCGGCCUGAGAGGGUGUCCGGCCACACUGGGACUGAGAUACGGCCCAG